GGCUCAGAUUGAACGCUGGCGGCAUGCCUUACACAUGCAAGUCGAACGGCAGCACGGGAGCAAUCCUGGUGGCGAGCGGCGAACGGGUGAGUAAUAUAUCGGAACGUGCCCAGUCGUGGGGGAUAACGUAGCGAAAGCUACGCUAAUACCGCAUACGAUCUAUGGAUGAAAGCGGGGGAUCGCAAGACCUCGCGCGAUUGGAGCGGCCGAUAUCAGAUUAGGUAGUUGGUGGGGUAAAAGCCUACCAAGCCUUCGAUCUGUAGCUGGUCUGAGAGGACGACCAGCCACACUGGAACUGAGACACGGUCCAGACUCCUACGGGAGGCAGCAGUGGGGAAUUUUGGACAAUGGGCGCAAGCCUGAUCCAGCAAUGCCGCGUGCAGGAUGAAGGCCUUCGGGUUGUAAACUGCUUUUGUACGGAACGAAACGGCUCUUUCUAAUAAAGAGAGCUAAAUGACGGUACCGUAAGAAUAAGCACCGGCUAACUACGUG
RNAcentral lists this ribosomal RNA (492 nucleotides) under uncultured bacterium. RNAcentral describes it as "bacterial SSU rRNA". It matches the Rfam family "Bacterial small subunit ribosomal RNA", at positions 21 to 507 of the family's 1533-position model. The record is from RNAcentral.